RNAcentral lists this ribosomal RNA (482 nucleotides) under uncultured bacterium. Its description in RNAcentral is "bacterial SSU rRNA". It matches the Rfam family "Bacterial small subunit ribosomal RNA", at positions 40 to 507 of the family's 1533-position model. The record is from RNAcentral.
CGGCGUGCCUAACACAUGCAAGUCGAACGGAGUUAUCCGCCGAAUUGAUGGUAGCUUGCUACAGGAUUUUCAUUGGGGCAACUUAGUGGCGGACGGGUGAGUAACGCGUGGGUAACCUGCCUUGUACAGGGGGAUAACAGUUAGAAAUGACUGCUAAUACCGCAUAACCCGCUAAGGUCGCAUGACCUAGACGGAAAAGAUUUAUCGGUACAAGAUGGACCCGCGUCUGAUUAGCUAGUUGGUGAGGUAACGGCCCACCAAGGCGACGAUCAGUAGCCGGCCUGAGAGGGUGACCGGCCACAUUGGGACUGAGACACGGCCCAAACUCCUACGGGAGGCAGCAGUGGGGAAUAUUGCACAAUGGGCGCAAGCCUGAUGCAGCAACGCCGCGUGAGGGAAGACGGUUUUCGGAUUGUAAACCUUUGUCUUUGGUGAAGAAAAAAAUGACGGUAGCCAAGGAGGAAGCCACGGCUAACUACGUG